Dermacentor andersoni is the source of this 1681-nucleotide long non-coding RNA. RefSeq lists it as uncharacterized. Lineage: Eukaryota; Metazoa; Arthropoda; Arachnida; Ixodida; Ixodidae. The record is from RefSeq and is a predicted model, not a curated record.
GUCUGCGUUCACCCGGUCGACGGAACGCAGGCGUUAGGUUCACCCAAACGUCACGUCCGGGAUGUCGCAUUCAUUCUUUGUUUUUUCGCGUCCGUGAUGUCACAUCCGUCUUUGGUUUUGGCGGCAGAAUGGCAAGCUCAAAGGUGAGCUACGCUCAAACAACUGGACAAAGAUGUGGAUCGUUUAUUUUUCGGGGUUUGUGCUAGCGUAAGCUAUCGUGGCCAAAGAACGUAAUCGGAAGAGGUGACGAGACGAAUGCGUUCUUCGUGGUUAGGAAAAGAAUUGCCAGUGGCAUCCAGUUGUGUGAGGCGCUGACGACAAGAGAUAGAAGCAGACGCCAAAGAAGUCCCACCCCAAGAUGAGUUCAUGGGUCACUCACGAAAUACCGCAAAAACAAUGUGGUGAAGAAUUUAGUCUAUGGACACACGAACAGUACACGGUGCGAUUGGACGAAUAAUAACGUUGGCUGCUGCACAAAGAGAAAGGCGGGAGUAAGGCAAUUCUUGUGUUUUAUAGAGUCCCGAACAGUCACAUGGCAAUAAUCGCCAAGCGUCUUGUAACAUGGAGCCACCUCAGAAUUGCACCAAACAAAGAUGAUGGAUGCAGCCAGUCUUGCCAGAUAACUACAUUUUGACUAUUCUGUAUUGUUUGCAUUUAUUGUGCAAAAGGAAUUCUCGCAGAGAGUUUUAUCUUCAGUGGCCUUCAGUUGACGUCAUCUGCUACAACUAGCACAUAAGUUAACUCCAUAGCACCACUAGGAUGGAGACAUUGUGUCGUGGGAUGCUUCCUUAAAAGUGGACAAGAAGAUACUAAAGGAAAAGUGUGAGAUGGUCACAGUAAUAACCAAGGCAUUUGGCAUGGGAAUGACCCAGCUAUGAAGGUAUUAUCAGAUGUGGACAAGCAUAUAAUACAAAAUGGCGCCUUGCACGAGUCCCAAGUGUCAAAUGUAAUGAGUAUUGUGCAUUGAAAGGGCCAAAAAUGUUUUGUACAUGCAAGGGAACACUAUGGGCAUUUGAUAGCAGUUGCUUAGAUGUACUACAUUAAAAGGAACCAAACGAAUUCCCUUAGACAUAAGCAUGCAGCAAAUUCAAGGACUAGAUGAAGCUUCAAAGAAACUGCAUUUCAUGUAGGAUAGGUGUGAAUGACCUUUGUGCAUGAGAUCAGUGACAAAAACACUAAAUGAAUGCAGUACAGUGUCUGUAUCAUAUCUUGUGCAGACCAAACUAGCCUGGAGUUUAAGCAUUCCUUGUCAGUACAUUUAAAUAGGCACUACAUUGUUCAAAGUGCAAUAUUGUUCUACAAAACAUAAUAUGCAAGAUGUAGCAUGCUAACCCUUGUGGCUCAACAACUACUGAACCGAAACCUCAAUGAGCAGUGAAGCGUCCUUGUAAUUUUCAUCGUAACCAUACUUUUGCUCUUGAAAGUGAACCUCUUUAGUGAAUUUGCUUGUGUAUUAAUUUUUCUUUAGGCAAGUAUUUUUUAUACAUGUUAAUGUCUCAAUCCUGCUUUCUCUUUCCGGAGCUAAAACAAAAUGCCUCUUAUUUCAGUUUGAUCUUUUGACCUAGGAAGCCAUCAUCAGGUGCUGUGUACAGCAAGCACAUGCUUCGGGCAAGGAGGGAGCGAGCACCAUAUCUACAUCAGCAAGAACCUCGGUGCUCAAAAUAAAAAUUUUCUGUGCAAA